GACUGCAUAACGCGAAGAACCUUACCAGGUCUUGACAUCCCUCUGACCGGUCCGUAACGGGACCUUUCCUUCGGGACAGAGGAGACAGGUGGUGCAUGGUUGUCGUCAGCUCGUGUCGUGAGAUGUUGGGUUAAGUCCCGCAACGAGCGCAACCCCUAUCCUUAGUAGCCAGCAGUUCGGCUGGGCACUCUAGGGAGACUGCCAGGGAUAACCUGGAGGAAGCGGGGAUGACGUCAAAUCAUCAUGCUCCUUAUGAUCUGGGCUACACACGUGCUACAAUGGUGACUACAAAGGGAAGCAGCCUCGUGAGAGUGAGCAAAUCCCAAAAAGGUCAUCCCAGUUCGGAUUGUAGUCUGCAACUCGACUACAUGAAGCUGGAAUCGCUAGUAAUCGCGAAUCAGAAUGUCGCGGUGAAUACGUUCCCGGGUCUUGUACACACCG
Molecule: ribosomal RNA, 441 nt
Filed under: uncultured bacterium
Lineage: Bacteria
Description: bacterial SSU rRNA
Rfam family: Bacterial small subunit ribosomal RNA
Source: RNAcentral